GAAAUAUUUCCAUUCCCAAGCAACAACCCCCCUUUCACAACCCCUGACUCCGACUCCUCCUGAUAUUCUAAUCUCGACGGCUCCUGAUUCUUUAGUUUCGUCCGUCGAUUUCAUCUGUGUCGAUAACACGGCUACGGCGCUGCUCUCUCUUCCAUCUAUUCCCCCCUCUUAUCUCGUCUUUCUUCCUUGCCGAUUUAGAGAUUACAACUUCCCGCACGAAGGGGGUGGACAUCGUUCCUGUCUAGAUUUUGGGUCGCUGUUUGCAGGUGAUCUUCAAUAUGUCUUCCGAUGGCGAUCAUAGUUAAUAAAACAAUAAAAAUAAAGAUGCAGGUUUUGAAUUCUUGAUCAUAGGUCAUUCAAAUGAUCAAUGUUUUCAUAUUCUUCGUAACUAAUUGUUUGGGUUUCCAUCGAUAUAUAGAUUUGUUUACUCGUUGGGUGCCUACACCUAUGAUCUUUAUCAGAAUAGUUUUCUUUUCCUGUCUUCUUAUGUUAAUUUCAUAGCUUGCUGACUUUGUUGGCAGUCUUUGUUGCAGCCAUGAAAGAAACUCAAAAGGAUACCGCAGAUUGUAUUCAUCCACCACGACAGGAAGAGAUGGAAAAUGUCCCCCCAAUUUCCAAUGAAUCCAUAAUGGGGAUAAUUUCCAACGAAUCCAUAAUGGGGAUGGUGUUUGAAUCAUGGGAAG
This 683-nucleotide long non-coding RNA is filed under the name Linum usitatissimum (flax). Its description in RNAcentral is "long non-coding RNA (LUSI_LNC006906)". The record is from RNAcentral. Lineage: Eukaryota; Viridiplantae; Streptophyta; Magnoliopsida; Malpighiales; Linaceae.